CGGAGGAUCCAAGCGUUAUCCGGAAUCAUUGGGUUUAAAGGGUCCGUAGGCGGUUUAAUAAGUCAGUGGUGAAAGCCCAUCGCUCAACGGUGGAACGGCCAUUGAUACUGUUAAACUUGAAUUAUUAGGAAGUAACUAGAAUAUGUAGUGUAGCGGUGAAAUGCUUAGAGAUUACAUGGAAUACCAAUUGCGAAGGCAGGUUACUACUAAUUGAUUGACGCUGAUGGACGAAAGCGUGGGUAGCGAACAGGAUUAGAUACCCUGGUAGUCCACGCCGUAAACGAUGGAUACUAGCUGUUGGAAGCAAUUUCAGUGGCUAAGCGAAAGUGAUAAGUAUCCCACCUGGGGAGUACGUUCGCAAGAAUG
This 366-nucleotide ribosomal RNA is filed under the name uncultured organism. Its description in RNAcentral is "bacterial SSU rRNA". It matches the Rfam family "Bacterial small subunit ribosomal RNA", at positions 526 to 896 of the family's 1533-position model. The record is from RNAcentral.